RNAcentral lists this ribosomal RNA (492 nucleotides) under uncultured bacterium. Its description in RNAcentral is "partial 16S ribosomal RNA". It matches the Rfam family "Bacterial small subunit ribosomal RNA", at positions 29 to 507 of the family's 1533-position model. The record is from RNAcentral.
AGUGAACGCUGGCGGUAGGCCUAACACAUGCAAGUCGAACGGCAGCACAGUAAGAGCUUGCUCUUACGGGUGGCGAGUGGCGGACGGGUGAGGAAUACAUCGGAAUCUACUUUUUCGUGGGGGAUAACGUAGGGAAACUUACGCUAAUACCGCAUACGACCUACGGGUGAAAGCAGGGGAUCUUCGGACCUUGCGCGAUUGAAUGAGCCGAUGUCGGAUUAGCUAGUUGGCGGGGUAAAGGCCCACCAAGGCGACGAUCCGUAGCUGGUCUGAGAGGAUGAUCAGCCACACUGGAACUGAGACACGGUACAGACUCCUAAGGGAGGCAGCAGUGGGGAAUAUUGGACAAUGGGCGCAAGCCUGAUACAGCCAUACCGCGUGGGUGAAGAAGGCCUUCGGGUUGUAAAGCCCUUUUGUUGGGAAAGAAAAGCAGCAGGUUAAUACGCCGCUGUUCUGACGGUACCCAAAGAAUAAGCACCGGCUAACUUCGUG